UCCUCUCUCCCAACCUCUGGUCGGGGCGUUGGAUCGAGUUGCGGUCCGUCCGCAACUGGUCUCAAAGACAAUGACGGCGUCCGUGGGACCCUCUCCGCAACGAGUCUUUCGAGGCACGCGGGGAGUUGCAAGGUCUCGUCGGGUCGGUCGACACCUUUAUUUUUUGCUA
This 169-nucleotide unclassified non-coding RNA is filed under the name Strelitziana africana. RNAcentral's name for it is "sequence contains ITS2". The record is from RNAcentral. Lineage: Eukaryota; Fungi; Ascomycota; Eurotiomycetes; Chaetothyriales; Trichomeriaceae.